This 45-nucleotide non-coding RNA is filed under the name Schistosoma margrebowiei. Lineage: Eukaryota; Metazoa; Platyhelminthes; Trematoda; Strigeidida; Schistosomatidae. The record is from RNAcentral.
AUCCGGUUGACGAGUCCAAAAUAGGACGAAACUCGCAUUCUGGAU